AAGGAUGAGAAGCUUCGACUAAGGUUCGAUUCGAGCGAAAGCGAGAAAGCGUUGCCGCAGGCAACGACCCGAAGGGCGAAGCGCGCAGCGCUGAGUCAACCUUCCCCCACCACCA
Molecule: small RNA, 115 nt
Filed under: Salmonella enterica subsp. enterica serovar Durban
Lineage: Bacteria; Pseudomonadati; Pseudomonadota; Gammaproteobacteria; Enterobacterales; Enterobacteriaceae
Description: partial RtT sRNA
Rfam family: RtT RNA
About the family: This family represents a bacterial cis-regulatory element known as RtT RNA. The exact function of RtT is unknown although it is thought that it may be involved in changing the cellular response in relation to amino acid starvation.
Source: RNAcentral